GACCCCACUAGGAGUGGAGCUUGUGGCUUAAUUUGACUCAACACGGGGAAACCUACCAGGUCCAGACAUAACAAGGAUUGACAGACUGAGAGCUCUUUCUUGAUUCUAUGGGUGGUGGUGCAUGGCCGUUCUAAGUUGGUGUAGCGAUUUGUCUGGUUAAUUCUGUUAACGAACGAGACCUCAGCCUGCUAACUAGCUAUGUGGAGCCAUCCCUCCGCAGCUAGCUUCUUAGAGGGACUAUCGCUGUUUAGGGUACGGAAGUUUGAGGCAAUAACAGGUUUGUGAUGCCCUUAGAUGUUCUGGGCUGCACGCGCGCUACAUGAUGUAUUCAACGAGUAUAUAGCCUUGGACGACAGGCCCGGGUAAUCUUGGGAAAUUUCAUCGUGAUGGGGAUAGAUCAUUGCAGUUGUUGGUCUUAAACGAGGAAUGCCUAGUAAGCGCGAGUCAUCGGCUCGCGCUGACUACGUCCCUGCC
Molecule: non-coding RNA, 474 nt
Organism: Triticum aestivum (bread wheat)
Lineage: Eukaryota; Viridiplantae; Streptophyta; Magnoliopsida; Poales; Poaceae
Source: Rfam